Molecule: long non-coding RNA, 1226 nt
Filed under: Homo sapiens (human)
Lineage: Eukaryota; Metazoa; Chordata; Mammalia; Primates; Hominidae
Description: long non-coding RNA NONHSAT175515.1
Source: RNAcentral
GUACAGGUGAACAAAGGCAGAGUAAACUGUCACCCCAGAUGCAGGUACAUCAAGACAAAACCCUGCCACCAGCUCAGUCAUCAAGUGUGGGUCCAGCAGAAGCCCAGCCACAGACUGCUCAGCCUUCAGCUCAGCCCCAGCCCCAAACCCAGCCCCAGUCCCCAGCUCAGCCUGAAGUUCAGACUCAGCCUGAAGUUCAGACCCAAACAACUGUUUCAUCCCAUGUCCCUUCUGAAGCACAACCCACCCACGCACAGUCAUCCAAGCCCCAAGUUGCAGCACAGUCUCAGCCUCAAAGUAAUGUCCAAGGACAGUCUCCUGUUCGUGUCCAAAGUCCAUCACAGACUCGAAUACGUCCAUCAACUCCAUCCCAACUGUCUCCUGGACAACAAUCCCAGGUUCAGACUACAACCUCACAACCGAUUCCAAUUCAACCACAUACAUCUCUUCAGAUACCUUCCCAAGGCCAGCCACAGUCACAACCCCAGGUACAGUCUUCAACUCAAACUCUUUCAUCAGGACAAACUUUAAAUCAAGUUACUGUUUCAUCCCCAUCCCGUCCUCAGCUACAAAUACAGCAGCCACAGCCCCAAGUCAUUGCUGUGCCUCAGCUGCAACAACAAGUCCAGGUUCUCUCUCAGAUCCAGUCACAGGUUGUGGCUCAGAUACAGGCUCAGCAAAGUGGUGUGCCCCAGCAAAUCAAACUCCAGUUACCUAUCCAAAUUCAGCAAAGCAGUGCUGUGCAGACUCACCAGAUUCAGAAUGUGGUUACAGUGCAGGCAGCCAGUGUGCAAGAGCAGUUGCAAAGGGUUCAGCAACUCAGGGAUCAGCAGCAAAAGAAGAAACAGCAACAGAUAGAAAUUAAGCGUGAACACACCCUCCAAGCUUCUAAUCAAAGUGAAAUCAUUCAGAAACAGGUGGUGAUGAAGCAUAAUGCUGUAAUAGAACAUUUAAAACAGAAAAAGAGCAUGACUCCAGCUGAAAGAGAAGAGAAUCAAAGAAUGAUUGUCUGUAACCAGGUGAUGAAGUAUAUUUUGGAUAAGAUAGAUAAAGAAGAAAAACAGGCAGCAAAAAAACGGAAGCGUGAAGAGAGUGUGGAGCAGAAACGUAGCAAGCAGAAUGCCACUAAGCUGUCAGCUCUGCUCUUCAAGCACAAAGAGCAGCUCAGAGCCGAGAUCCUGAAGAAGAGAGCACUCCUGGACAAGGAUCUGCAAAUUGAAGUGCAG